GCGACUUAGGGGCAGGAGGCGGCGGUAAUGGGUAGGUGGGGGGCGUUGUCCGGAAUGAUGGGGCGUAAGGUGCUCGUAGGCGGUUUGUCGCGUCUGGAGUGAAAUCCACUGGCUUAGCUGGUGGCUUGCUUUCGAUACGGGCAGACUGGAGGUAUGCAGGGGAGAACGGAAUUCCUGGUGUAGCGGUGAAAUGCGCAGAUAUCAGGAGGAACACCGGUGGCGAAGGCGGUUCUCUGGGCAUGUCCUGACGCUGAGGAGCGAAAGUGUGGGGAGCGAACAGGAUUAGAUACCCGUGUAGUC
RNAcentral lists this ribosomal RNA (300 nucleotides) under uncultured Thermodesulfobacterium sp. Its description in RNAcentral is "bacterial SSU rRNA". It matches the Rfam family "Bacterial small subunit ribosomal RNA", at positions 496 to 795 of the family's 1533-position model. The record is from RNAcentral. Lineage: Bacteria; Pseudomonadati; Thermodesulfobacteriota; Thermodesulfobacteria; Thermodesulfobacteriales; Thermodesulfobacteriaceae.